RNAcentral lists this ribosomal RNA (505 nucleotides) under uncultured bacterium. Its description in RNAcentral is "partial 16S ribosomal RNA". It matches the Rfam family "Bacterial small subunit ribosomal RNA", at positions 28 to 507 of the family's 1533-position model. The record is from RNAcentral.
GACGAACGCUGGCGGCGUGCCUAACACAUGCAAGUCGAACGAUGAAGAAAAGAGUUGAAGCUCCGGCAGAAAUUCAUUGCGGAAUAGUGGCAGAAGGGAGAGUAACGCGUGAGCAACCUACCUCUUACAAAGGGAUAGCCACGGGAAAACGGGAUUAAUCCCAUAUAACAUUGCGAGGAAGCAUUUCGAUGCACGCAAAGGUAUGGCGGUAAGAGAUGGGAUCGCGUCCGAUUAGCUAGUUGGCGAGGUAACGGCGCCCCAUAGCGACGAUGCGUAACUGGUCUGAGAGGAUGAUCAGCCACACUGGAACUGAGACACGGUCCAGACUCCUACGGGAGGCAGCAGUGGGGAAUAUUGGACAAUGGGCGCAAGCCUGAUCCAGCCAUACCGCGUGGGUGAAGAAGGCCUUCGGGUUGUAAAGCCCUUUUGUUGGGAAAGAAAAGCAGCAGGUUAAUACCCCGCUGUUCUGACGGUACCCAAAGAAUAAGCACCGGCUAACUUCGUG